Molecule: ribosomal RNA, 465 nt
Filed under: uncultured bacterium
Lineage: Bacteria
Description: partial 16S ribosomal RNA
Rfam family: Bacterial small subunit ribosomal RNA
Source: RNAcentral
GACGAACGCUGGCGGCGUGCUUAACACAUGCAAGUCGAACGGAAAGGCCCUGCUUGCAGGGUACUCGAGUGGCGAACGGGUGAGUAACACGUGGGUGAUCUGCCCUGCACUUCGGGAUAAGCUUGGGAAACUGGGUCUAAUACCGGAUAGGAACCAUCUUUAGUGUGGUGGUUGGAAAGUUUUUUCGGUGUAGGAUGAGCUCGCGGCCUAUCAGCUUGUUGGUGGGGUAAUGGCCUACCAAGGCGGCGACGGGUAGCCGGCCUGAGAGGGUGUACGGCCACAUUGGGACUGAGAGACGGCCCAGACUCCUACGGGAGGCAGCAGUGGGGAAUAUUGCACAAUGGGCGCAAGCCUGAUGCAGCGACGCCGCGUGGGGGAGGAAGGCCUUCGGGUUGUAAACUCCUUUCGCUAGGGACGAAGCUUUUUGUGACGGUACCUAGAUAAGAAGCACCGGCUAACUACGUG